Thamnophis sirtalis is the source of this 3257-nucleotide non-coding RNA. NCBI's taxonomy places the organism in Eukaryota, Metazoa, Chordata, Lepidosauria, Squamata, Natricidae. The record is from RefSeq and is a predicted model, not a curated record.
AGUGAUACAGAAAAAGUUAUGUUGCCCUUGUUCCCUGGAACUUCAUUUCCCCUGUCCCUGUGGUCAGUCAUUGCUACCCUAGAAGUCAUCGAUAUGUAAAUUGAUUUUAAAAUUAAAGCAAUGCUUAGUCUAAGUCUAAGUGUAUUUCAGCAUGGCCUAACUUGGCGCAAUACAGUGUGUGCGUGCGUGUGUGUGUGUGUAUUUGCUGCCCGGCAUCUGUGUUUAGCCAUGUCUAAUGUGGGGUAUUAACAAUAUUGAAUUGUGAGAGGAAACUGAUUUUGUUUGUUCUUGCUAAUGAAGGAAUUUGUGCUAUUCCUUUUCUAGGUACAGCAUUUCCUACAUACCAUUUGCAAGGGAUGCUGUGAAAAAAUGUUUUGCUGCAUGCCUCACAUAACAGGCUAAGUUGGCUAUCUUCUUACACUGAGGACUACAACACCUGCACAACCAAAUGAUUCUUGAAACAGCACACAGCUGCCUAAGAACAAAGCAUUAACGUGUUAGGUUAACAUGUGACUCAGAAGACAAAGCUACCAUAUAUUCUCCUGAAGAUAACACAUUUUAUGAAACUUUCAAGAUAAAUUAUGUCUCGUCUUCACUUGCAAAACUAAUACUUAAUGUAUGCCACAAAAAAAAAUCUUUUUUUCAGAUGAUUUUAUUUUGGAAGUAAAAUUGAUAUUCUAGUAGGGAUGGGAUUUCUAUUAACAGGUUUCUAUCAAAAAGUCCAUAGGACAGAUUAUAUUUUUGGAAAAUAUUUGCUAAGCAUGUAGUAAAUUCUUUCAUUCUUUUAGUUACUUGCUACCAAAAGACCAUUUCUAAAUGUCUCUUUUUCCAUUCUAAAAAUCAUGAUUGCAAAUUGUAUGAGGAAAGUUCCUGGAAUUAAUUUGUUGUCUUAACAGGAUACCAAUUAUAAUUCCUUUCUUUAAAUUACAUGAUUUAGUGUCUGAUAAGCAAGAGAAUCAGUAACUGGAGAAAAGUAGGAAUCAUAAAAUUAGAUAAGAUGAUUUCUCCAAGCAUUUCUAUUUAUGGACUUCUACUCAUGUGGCCUUGGAAUGAAAUAAAAUCUAGACUUCUGCCUUUAUUGGUAACUUAUAUUCUAAAAAAAUUUCUCCUCUUAUUGAUGCCACUGCAGUGCCUCUCUCAUUUUUAUUUUCAUGUUGGUCAGAUAUGGCUUGAAUAACUCAAAAGUGUACCAUAAUCUAACUGGGGAGACAAACAUUUAAGAUUUUGAGUAUCUUCUUUUCUCAUCCUAUCUUUUCUUUCAAUAUGUUUCCUUGUAUAAUCACUGUGUAUAAUCUUAUUAUGUUUCAUGCUUUGAUUUCCCAAGAGGAUAGUAUCCUGGGAUUAUUUAAAUUUACGGAUUCUAGCAUAUUGGCAUUUUUUGUUGCAUUCCUUUUUUGCACUGGCAUCUUCCCUGCUUAUUUUUCAUAAGAAGUAAAAUUAGUGUGUGUACAUGUUAAGAAUUAUUUGAGAGUUUUUGCAGUUGGUUAUCUUGAUAUUGUGCUAUGCUUAUUUUAAAAAAAUCCAAUAAUUUUGCCUUUGGUGGAAUUCAUGAACUGUAAGCACCUAUUGCUAAAAGAAAAUAUAUUUACUAUCUAUGUUCAUUAUGCUGCCUGUUCUGCUCUCUUUUGCCUUUUGAAAGAGACUAAUACAGGAUAUCAGAGCACAGAAAUUUUCCAGUGAGAAGUAGCCAAAUUAACUCUUAUUUUUUACACAAUGGAACCAAUGUUUGUAUCUAACUAGUUUAGUAUAGCUUCUUCGAUAAAUAUUGUUGGUUGUUUUACUCCAGAGAUCUUGGAAAGUUAAUUGUAUUGCACUGCUUACCAAACAAACAUAUUUAUAGAUUUGUAAACUUGACAUUUGUGAAAUAAUUCACUUUUAUUAUAACUCUCAUUAUGAAUGAAGCACAGAAUUGUAUACACUGAUUUUAAAUGAAUACAGGUCAGAGAACUCUAAGUAAUGUAUUAAAAUUAGGUCUGCAAGACCUUGGUUUUAAGAAAUGAACAGAUAUGAUUUUUUCCUACAUCUGCUUUUUGAGGGAGCAUUUAAAAUUAUCACUGCUUAAAAUAUAAAACUGCCCAGAUUGUAAAUUUUGAAUAUAUUCUAUAGAUAUUUAAGUAUAUAUAUAUUUAAUAGGUUUUUAUAGUGAAGCAAUGUGUAGUGCUUAAUGAUAGUGGUAAUUGCAGACUCUCUCUUAUAGUAGACAGUUGUGACACAAGGAGGCUCCUGAAAUACAAAAGUCAAAAUUUUAAACUUGAUGGAGUCUCUUUCUGAUGCAUUUCUGAAGCAUUGAAAAAGACAGUGGGGACAACAUUCUAAAAGAUACAAAUCUCUUACUUGUUUCAGGCAUAAAUUGUGACGAAAAAUUUAAAUAUAAGCAUCAUACAUUCUGUCUUAGUUUUAAGGUCACUUGAAUAUAAAGUGGUGAGAAAUUAUUGUAUAAACUUAAAGGAUUUGGUGAAGCUUCCUUGAUUCCCCCCUUGUGCUCCCCCCUCCGAUUUCCUAACUAUGUGACUUCUUUCUUUUGAAUACCAGCUGAGAUAAUCUUACAAUUUUCCUUGUUGAUGUCUUCAGAGAAUUGAGUUUAAGGUAACAUGCAUUGCUGCUACUGAUGUGCAAUCCAUCUUACGUCUAUUUCUGUUAGAGUAACAGAAGGGUAAUCAUAUAAAUGCUGGAAGAUGCAGACAUCCACAUUAAGAAAUUUAUAACUCUAUGCCAACUACUGAAUUGAAUCCCACUGAGUCAUACAGCUCUCAGUUCCAGCCUUUACAUCUUGCUGCUUCAUGUUAGCCUUUUCCAACUUGAUGGUCUCCAAGUUGAAACAAAAUUUCCUAAGUUCUUAAUCAGCAUAAAGUCCUCAUGGAGUUGUCAAAUUGGGAAACAGUGCUUAAGAAAUGUAGCAAAUGAGAAACCCAGCUUUUUAAAUCUUGGAAGAAAUAACCUUUUGUUACAAUAUGUCUGUCUGAAGUAGGAGGCUUAUUUUGGGGAGAGACUAAAAUAAUUCUCACAAAUUCCAGUUGCAAUUAUCUCCUUGCUUACAGAAUGUGAACCCUGCUAGGCCAAUAGUAAGAUCUUGCAUUUUAGACAAACAAAUGUUCUAUCUUGUCUGACUCUUAAAUUAUUACAGUACAUAUCCAACACUAAUUGAGUAACUUCCAAGUUUUGAUCUUGUUGAAUUCUUGUUAGGGAUAUUUUUUAUGUUUAAUAAAUGAGCCGAGGUGGCGCAGUGGUUAGGGUGCAGUACUGCAGGCCACUUUAGC